This 485-nucleotide ribosomal RNA is filed under the name Bythocaris leucopis. RNAcentral's name for it is "partial 16S ribosomal RNA". It matches the Rfam family "Bacterial large subunit ribosomal RNA", at positions 1845 to 2588 of the family's 2925-position model. Lineage: Eukaryota; Metazoa; Arthropoda; Malacostraca; Decapoda; Hippolytidae. The record is from RNAcentral.
AUAAGGUUUGACCUGCCCACUGAUGUUAUUAUUAAAGGGCCGCAGUAUUUUGACUGUGCAAAGGUAGCAUAAUCAAUAGUCUCUUAAUUGGGGGCUGGAAUGAAUGGUUAGACGAGAAAAUAGUUGUCUUUUCAUAGAAAUUGAAUUUUACUUUUAAGUGAAAAGGCUUAAAUAUUUAAAUGGGACGAUAAGACCCUAUAAAACUUAAUAGUUACUAAUAGCCUUAUAAGUUUGUUUAAUUUAUGGUCUUUAGUGUCUAUUUUAUUGGGGCGAUAGGAAUAUAUUAAUUAUAAAUCUGUUUCUUUAGUUUAAUAAUUUUAAUUAGGAUUUUGAUCUUGUAUUACUGAUUAUAAGAUCGAGUUACUUUAGGGAUAACAGCGUAAUUUUUUCAGAGAGUUCUUAUCGAAGAGAGUAGUUGCGACCUCGAUGUUGAAUUAAAAUUUCUUUUAGGUGUAGUAGCUUAAUUAGUAGGUCUGUUCGACCUU